UGUGCACUCCAACCCAAAGCUCAUAUCCUCUCAGUGGUAUGAAUUUUUUGGGGUGCAAACAGAAACGGAUCCUUGUCGCCUUUCUCUGACGCUGCAGUGCCUUUGAAAGUGAAUCCAAGGGUCGACAGUU
Molecule: small nucleolar RNA, 130 nt
Organism: Sparus aurata (gilthead seabream)
Lineage: Eukaryota; Metazoa; Chordata; Actinopteri; Spariformes; Sparidae
Source: Ensembl